GAUGAGAACGCAGCGAAAUGCGAUAAGUAGUGUGAAUUGCAGAAUUCAGUGAAUCAUCGAAUCUUUGAACGCACAUUGCGCCCCUUGGUAUUCCAUGGGGCAUGCCUGUUCGAGCGUCAUUUGUACCUUCAAGCUUUGCUUGGUGUUGGGUGUUUGUCCUGAGGGACUCGCCUUAAAGUAAUUGGCAGCCAGUGUUUGGUUUUGAAGCGCAGCACAAGUCGCGAUUCAAAGCUAUACGCCCGCUUCCACAAGCCUUUUUCACUUUUGACCUCGGAUCAGGUAGGGAUACCCGCUGAACUUAAGCAUAUCAAUAAGCGGAGGA
RNAcentral lists this unclassified non-coding RNA (322 nucleotides) under soil metagenome. Its description in RNAcentral is "partial contains 5.8S ribosomal RNA, internal transcribed spacer 2, and large subunit ribosomal RNA". The stretch from base 5 to 119 matches the Rfam family "5.8S ribosomal RNA", at positions 40 to 154 of the family's 154-position model. The record is from RNAcentral.